RNAcentral lists this ribosomal RNA (462 nucleotides) under Micrococcus luteus. RNAcentral's name for it is "bacterial SSU rRNA". It matches the Rfam family "Bacterial small subunit ribosomal RNA", at positions 877 to 1338 of the family's 1533-position model. Lineage: Bacteria; Bacillati; Actinomycetota; Actinomycetes; Micrococcales; Micrococcaceae. The record is from RNAcentral.
GGAGUACGGCCGCAAGGCUAAAACUCAAAGGAAUUGACGGGGGCCCGCACAAGCGGCGGAGCAUGCGGAUUAAUUCGAUGCAACGCGAAGAACCUUACCAAGGCUUGACAUGUUCUCGAUCGCCGUAGAGAUACGGUUUCCCCUUUGGGGCGGGUUCACAGGUGGUGCAUGGUUGUCGUCAGCUCGUGUCGUGAGAUGUUGGGUUAAGUCCCGCAACGAGCGCAACCCUCGUUCCAUGUUGCCAGCACGUAGUGGUGGGGACUCAUGGGAGACUGCCGGGGUCAACUCGGAGGAAGGUGAGGACGACGUCAAAUCAUCAUGCCCCUUAUGUCUUGGGCUUCACGCAUGCUACAAUGGCCGGUACAAUGGGUUGCGAUACUCUGAGGUGGAGCUAAUCCCAAAAAGCCGGUCUCAGUUCGGAUUGGGGUCUGCAACUCGACCCCAUGAAGUCGGAGUCGCUAG